Long non-coding RNA from Pocillopora damicornis (cauliflower coral), 968 nucleotides. RefSeq lists it as uncharacterized. The record is from RefSeq and is a predicted model, not a curated record. NCBI's taxonomy places the organism in Eukaryota, Metazoa, Cnidaria, Anthozoa, Scleractinia, Pocilloporidae.
CGGUGAGUGUGUCAUUCUUCCACCAAGCGUUCAUGCUGUGCCAGCAAGGGCCGGUCUCGACCAAUAUCAACCUAAAACCAGAUUGCUCAUUUCAGAGACCGUUUUGUCUGCUUAACAAUAUCAAGCAGAGAAGAAGAGGGUUCAUAUUUCCUCUGAAGAAGCAGGAAGACUCAUGCUGUUUUAGCCAAAAAAGCGGCAAUGGCGGAUAAGAACAAAUUUUCCGUUUUAUUCAAAUGUACAAUAAGUGAACUUCAACAGAGCACAGUGGAGCCACGACCAAAAAUGAGAGAAAGAAAGAUCGAUAAAGCUGUACCAUAAGUAUGAUAUCACUCAGCAAAGCCUGUCCCAGUGUGUGUGAGGCAAGCCUGAAAAACUGUACGAAGUAAAUCUUUAUGUUCAUCGGCUUAUUGUUAAACAACGAGUAAGACUACAAUGGGCAACCACCGGAGGGGAAUUCAAAAAUGCUGUGACACUUUGUUGGCAGUUAACAAGGCGUUAAACUCAAACAGCAGGUGAAGGUUCACAAGCUAGAAUCCUUGUUUGACAUAUGAUGCGUUCAUCAAAAGAAAAACCUCAACGUUAUUUCACAACUGGAAUUGACAGAGCAAGAUAUCAUGUCCAUGCAGUGCUAAGGAGAGGACUUCAGUUCACAUUUCAGAGUUAACGUAACGAUACCUGCAUCUCAGAGCAAUUUCGAUUGUGUGUUGGAAGUAAUUAUGAAUUGUUUUGGUUUACCACACUACGCUCUAUGAUUGGGCUAAAAACCUCGCGCCAAAUUUCCAACCAAUCGGAUGAAAAACUAAAACCAAUCCCGACUUGGUCAUUAGCGUUUUUCGCGUUUAAAGCAGUUUCCAUGGUUUUGGUUUGGGUUACUAUUGGCUAAUUGGGAUAUUAUCCUUUUAGUUCUGACUUAUCGAUGUGAUUUCUCUGGUCCUGGUCUCACGACAUUCAAUCGAAAAGCUCUUUAC